RNAcentral lists this ribosomal RNA (431 nucleotides) under uncultured bacterium. Its description in RNAcentral is "partial 16S ribosomal RNA". It matches the Rfam family "Bacterial small subunit ribosomal RNA", at positions 29 to 507 of the family's 1533-position model. The record is from RNAcentral.
AACGAACGCUGGCGGCAGGCUUAACACAUGCAAGUCGAGCGCCCCGCAAGGGGAGCGGCAGACGGGUGAGUAACGCGUGGGAACGUACCUUUUGGUUCGGAACAACUCCGGGAAACUGGAGCUAAUACCGGAUAAGCCCUAACGGGGAAAGAUUUAUCGCCGAAAGAUCGGCCCGCGUCUGAUUAGCUAGUUGGUGAGGUAACGGCUCACCAAGGCGACGAUCAGUAGCUGGUCUGAGAGGAUGAUCAGCCACACUGGGACUGAGACACGGCGCAGACUCCUACGGGAGGCAGCAGUGGGGAAUAUUGGACAAUGGGCGCAAGCAUGAUCCAGCCAUGCCGCGUGAGUGAUGAAGGCCUUAGGGUUGUAAAGCUCUUUUGUCCGGGAAGAUAAUGACUGUACCGGAAGAAUAAGCCCCGGCUAACUUCGUG